Molecule: ribosomal RNA, 216 nt
Filed under: uncultured bacterium
Lineage: Bacteria
Description: partial 16S ribosomal RNA
Rfam family: Bacterial small subunit ribosomal RNA
Source: RNAcentral
UACGUAGGGUGCGAGCGUUGUCCGGAAUUAUUGGGCGUAAAGAGCUUGUAGGCGGUUUGUCGCGUCUGCUGUGAAAUUCCAGGGCUUAACCCUGGGCUUGCAGUGGGUACGGGCAGACUAGAGUGUGGUAGGGGAGACUGGAAUUCCUGGUGUAGCGGUGAAAUGCGCAGAUAUCAGGAGGAACACCGGUGGCGAAGGCGGGCGCCUGGGCCGUGA